RNAcentral lists this ribosomal RNA (253 nucleotides) under uncultured microorganism. RNAcentral describes it as "partial 16S ribosomal RNA". It matches the Rfam family "Bacterial small subunit ribosomal RNA", at positions 524 to 776 of the family's 1533-position model. The record is from RNAcentral.
UACGUAGGUCCCGAGCGUUGUCCGGAUUUAUUGGGCGUAAAGAGCUCGUAGGCGGUUUGUCGCGUCUGCCGUGAAAGUCCGGGGCUCAACUCCGGAUCUGCGGUGGGUACGGGCAGACUAGAGUGAUGUAGGGGAGACUGGAAUUCCUGGUGUAGCGGUGAAAUGCGCAGAUAUCAGGAGGAACACCGAUGGCGAAGGCAGGUCUCUGGGCAUUAACUGACGCUGAGGAUCGAAAGCAUGGGGAGCGAACCGG